GAGCCUAUAGCUCAGCCUGGUUAGAGCGCCUGUCUUAUAAGCAGGAGGUCCCAAGUUCAAAUCUUGGUAGGCUCA
This 75-nucleotide transfer RNA is filed under the name Candidatus Pacearchaeota archaeon. RNAcentral's name for it is "tRNA-Ile". It matches the Rfam family "tRNA". Rfam says of the family: Transfer RNA (tRNA) molecules are approximately 80 nucleotides in length. Their secondary structure includes four short double-helical elements and three loops (D, anti-codon, and T loops). Lineage: Archaea; Nanobdellati. The record is from RNAcentral.